ACAGGCCGAUGACUCCCAAGAGCUCUUAUCGACGGAGUCGUUUGGCACCUCGAUGUUGACUCAUCACAUCCUGGGGUUGAAGAAGGUCCCAAGGGUUCAAUUGUUCACCGAUGAAAGUGGUACGUGAGUUGGGUUCAGAACGUCGUGAGACAGUUC
This 156-nucleotide ribosomal RNA is filed under the name Triticum dicoccoides. RNAcentral describes it as "rRNA LSU_rRNA_eukarya". It matches the Rfam family "Bacterial large subunit ribosomal RNA", at positions 2477 to 2632 of the family's 2925-position model. Lineage: Eukaryota; Viridiplantae; Streptophyta; Magnoliopsida; Poales; Poaceae. The record is from RNAcentral.